Molecule: ribosomal RNA, 303 nt
Filed under: Shigella sonnei
Lineage: Bacteria; Pseudomonadati; Pseudomonadota; Gammaproteobacteria; Enterobacterales; Enterobacteriaceae
Description: partial 23S ribosomal RNA
Rfam family: Bacterial large subunit ribosomal RNA
Source: RNAcentral
CGUGGGCGCUGGAGAACUGAGGGGGGCUGCUCCUAGUACGAGAGGACCGGAGUGGACGCAUCACUGGUGUUCGGGUUGUCAUGCCAAUGGCACUGCCCGGUAGCUAAAUGCGGAAGAGAUAAGUGCUGAAAGCAUCUAAGCACGAAACUUGCCCCGAGAUGAGUUCUCCCUGACCCUUUAAGGGUCCUGAAGGAACGUUGAAGACGACGACGUUGAUAGGCCGGGUGUGUAAGCGCAGCGAUGCGUUGAGCUAACCGGUACUAAUGAACCGUGAGGCUUAACCUUACAACGCCGAAGGUGUUU